Salvia miltiorrhiza (redroot sage) is the source of this 125-nucleotide small nucleolar RNA. NCBI's taxonomy places the organism in Eukaryota, Viridiplantae, Streptophyta, Magnoliopsida, Lamiales, Lamiaceae. The record is from RefSeq and is a predicted model, not a curated record.
GAGCAAGGACGUCGAUUUUAUAUCUAUGAUGAAAACUUGCAUUGAAGGUUGGCAAUAUUGAAGUGAUUCUCCGUGCCAUUCAUCUCUUUGGGUUUUGAUUGCGGCCUCGAACAAAUCGCUACAUU